Molecule: ribosomal RNA, 253 nt
Filed under: uncultured bacterium
Lineage: Bacteria
Description: partial 16S ribosomal RNA
Rfam family: Bacterial small subunit ribosomal RNA
Source: RNAcentral
UACAGAGGUCCCAAGCGUUGUUCGGAUUCAUUGGGCGUAAAGCGUGCGUAGGUGGUUCGUUAAGUCUGAUGUGAAAGCCCUGGGCUCAACCUGGGAAUGGCAUUGGAAACUGGCGACCUAGAGUGCGGUAGAGGGUAGUGGAAUUCCCGGUGUAGCAGUGAAAUGCGUAGAGAUCGGGAGGAACAUCCGUGGCGAAGGCGACUACCUGGACCAGCACUGACACUGAGGCACGAAAGCGUGGGGAGCAAACAGG